GCGCAGCAGGCGAGAAACCUCCGCAAUGCGCGAAAGCGCGACGGGGUUACCCCGAGUGCCGUCCGCUGAGGACGGCUUUUGCCCAGUGUAGCCAGCUGGGCGAAUAAGGAGAGGGCAAGUCUGGUGUCAGCCGCCGCGGUAAUACCAGCUCUCCGAGUGGUGGGGACGCUUAUUGGGCCUAAAGCAUCCGUAGCCGGCUGGGCAAGUCCUCCGUUAAAUCCAACGAUUCAAUCGUUGGGCUGCGGGGGAUACUGUCCAGCUUGGGGGCGGGAGAGGCCGACGGUAUUCCCGGGGUAGGGGUGAAAUCCUAUAAUCCCGGGAGGACCACCAGUGGCGAAGGCUGUCGGCUAGAACGCGCCCGACGGUGAGGGAUGAAAGCUGGGGGAGCGAACCGGAUUAGAUA
RNAcentral lists this ribosomal RNA (403 nucleotides) under uncultured microorganism. RNAcentral describes it as "bacterial SSU rRNA". It matches the Rfam family "Archaeal small subunit ribosomal RNA", at positions 330 to 735 of the family's 1478-position model. The record is from RNAcentral.